This is a transfer RNA of Lichtheimia corymbifera, 72 nucleotides long. It matches the Rfam family "tRNA". Rfam says of the family: Transfer RNA (tRNA) molecules are approximately 80 nucleotides in length. Lineage: Eukaryota; Fungi; Mucoromycota; Mucoromycetes; Mucorales; Lichtheimiaceae. The record is from Rfam.
AGGGAAUUAACUCAGUGGUAGAGUGUUAAUCUUACAAAUUAAAAGUCGGUAGUUCGAUUCUACUAUUCCCUA